UUCCGUAGGGUGACCUGCGGAAGGAUCAUUACCGAGUGCGGGCCCUCGUGGCCCAACCUCCCACCCUUGUCUCUAUACACCUGUUGCUUUGGCGGGCCCACCGGGGCCACCUGGUCGCCGGGGGACAUCUGUCCCCGGGCCCGCGCCCGCCGAAGCGCUCUGUGAACCCUGAUGAAGAUGGGCUGUCUGAGUACUAUGAAAAUUGUCAAAACUUUCAACAAUGGAUCUCUUGGUUCCGGCAUCGAUGAAGAACGCAGCGAAAUGCGAUAAGUAAUGUGAAUUGCAGAAUUCCGUGAAUCAUCGAAUCUUUGAACGCACAUUGCGCCCCCUGGCAUUCCGGGGGGCAUGCCUGUCCGAGCGUCAUUUCUGCCCUCAAGCACGGCUUGUGUGUUGGGUGCGGUCCCCCCGGGGACCUGCCCGAAAGGCAGCGGCGACGUCCGUCUGGUCCUCGAGCGUAUGGGGCUUUGUCACUCGCUCGGGAAGGACUGGCGGGGGUUGGUCACCACCAAAAUUUUACCACGGUUGACCUCGGAUCAGGUAGGAGUUACCCGCUGAACUUAAGCAU
Molecule: ribosomal RNA, 565 nt
Filed under: Talaromyces amestolkiae
Lineage: Eukaryota; Fungi; Ascomycota; Eurotiomycetes; Eurotiales; Trichocomaceae
Description: eukaryotic LSU rRNA
Rfam family: 5.8S ribosomal RNA (bases 210-363)
Source: RNAcentral